AUUGAACGCUGGCGGCAUGCCUUACACAUGCAAGUCGAACGGCAGCACGGGAGCAAUCCUGGUGGCGAGUGGCGAACGGGUGAGUAAUAUAUCGGAACGUGCCCAGUCGUGGGGGAUAACGUAGCGAAAGCUACGCUAAUACCGCAUACGACCUAUGGAUGAAAGCGGGGGAUCGCAAGACCUCGCGCGAUUGGAGCGGCCGAUAUCAGAUUAGGUAGUUGGUGAGGUAAAGGCUCACCAAGCCGACGAUCUGUAGCUGGUCUGAGAGGACGACCAGCCACACUGGGACUGAGACACGGCCCAGACUCCUACGGGAGGCAGCAGUGGGGAAUUUUGGACAAUGGGCGCAAGCCUGAUCCAGCAAUGCCGCGUGCAGGAUGAAGGCCUUCGGGUUGUAAACUGCUUUUGUACGGAACGAAACGGUGAGCUCUAAUACAGUUUGCUAAUGACGGUACCGUAAGAAUAAGCACCGGCUAACUACGUGCCAGCAGCCGCCGUAA
RNAcentral lists this ribosomal RNA (500 nucleotides) under uncultured bacterium. RNAcentral's name for it is "partial 16S ribosomal RNA". It matches the Rfam family "Bacterial small subunit ribosomal RNA", at positions 30 to 523 of the family's 1533-position model. The record is from RNAcentral.